This 76-nucleotide transfer RNA is filed under the name Ipomoea batatas (sweet potato). RNAcentral describes it as "tRNA-Ile". It matches the Rfam family "tRNA". From Rfam's summary of the family: Transfer RNA (tRNA) molecules are approximately 80 nucleotides in length. The record is from RNAcentral. Lineage: Eukaryota; Viridiplantae; Streptophyta; Magnoliopsida; Solanales; Convolvulaceae. RNAcentral also lists the same sequence under 1 other name.
GCAUCCAUGGCUGAAUGGUGAAAGCGCCCAACCUAUACAAGGGGCAAAUUCGUAGGUUCGAUUCCUGCUGGAUGCG